RNAcentral lists this ribosomal RNA (712 nucleotides) under uncultured bacterium. Its description in RNAcentral is "bacterial SSU rRNA". It matches the Rfam family "Archaeal small subunit ribosomal RNA", at positions 725 to 1442 of the family's 1478-position model. The record is from RNAcentral.
AGGAUUAGAUACCCGGGUAGUCCCAGCUUGUAAACGAUGCAGACUAGGUGUUUGGACGGCCACGUGCCGUUCUAGUGCCGCAGGGAAGCUGUUAAGUCUGCCGCCUGGGGAGUACGAUCGCAAGAUUGAAACUUAAAGGAAUUGGCGGGGGAGCACCACAAGGGGUGAAGCUUGCGGUUUAAUUGGAGUCAACGCCGGAAAUCUCACCGGGAGCGACAGCAGUAUGAAGGCCAGAUUAAAGGUCUUGCCAGACGAGCUGAGAGGAGGUGCAUGGCCGUCGCCAGUUCGUGCCGUGAGGUGUCCUGUUAAGUCAGGCAACGAUCGAGACCCGCGUCCACUGUUGCAACUAGCUUUGUGCUGGGCACACUGUGGAGACCGCCACUGAUAAAGUGGAGGAAGGAGCGGGCCACGGCAGGUCAGUAUGCCCCGAAUCUCCCGGGCCACACGCGAGCUGCAAUGGCAGGUACAAUGGGUUCCGACCUCGAAAGGGGAAGGCAAUCUCGAAAGCCUGCCGUAGUUGGGAUCGAGGGCUGUAACCCGUCCUCGUGAGCAUGGAAUCCCUAGUAAUCGCGUGUCAUUAGCGCGCGGUGAAUACGUCCCUGCUCCUUGCACACACCGCCCGUCGUUCCAUCCGAGCGACUCUUGGGUGAGGCGCCGUCUUUCAUGGCGGUGUCGAAUCUAAGUUUCGUAAGGAGGGAAAAGUCGUAACAAG